UGAGUAAUGUCUGGGAAACUGCCUGAUGGAGGGGGAUAACUACUGGAAACGGUAGCUAAUACCGCAUAACGUCGCAAGACCAAAGAGGGGGACCUUCGGGCCUCUUGCCAUCAGAUGUGCCCAGAUGGGAUUAGCUAGUAGGUGGGGUAAUGGCUCACCUAGGCGACGAUCCCUAGCUGGUCUGAGAGGAUGACCAGCCACACUGGAACUGAGACACGGUCCAGACUCCUACGGGAGGCAGCAGUGGGGAAUAUUGCACAAUGGGCGCAAGCCUGAUGCAGCCAUGCCGCGUGUGUGAAGAAGGCCUUCGGGUUGUAAAGCACUUUCAGCGAGGAGGAAGGUGGUGAGCUUAAUACGCUCAUCAAUUGACGUUACUCGCAGAAGAAGCACCGGCUAACUCCGCGCCAGCAGCCGCGGUAAUACGGAGGGUGCAAGCGUUAAUCGGAAUUACUGGGCGUAAAGCGCACGCAGGCGGUUUGUUAAGUCAGAUGUGAAAUCCCCGGG
Molecule: ribosomal RNA, 504 nt
Filed under: uncultured bacterium
Lineage: Bacteria
Description: bacterial SSU rRNA
Rfam family: Bacterial small subunit ribosomal RNA
Source: RNAcentral